This 1702-nucleotide long non-coding RNA is filed under the name Nicotiana tabacum (common tobacco). RNAcentral's name for it is "long non-coding RNA (NTAB_LNC004457)". Lineage: Eukaryota; Viridiplantae; Streptophyta; Magnoliopsida; Solanales; Solanaceae. The record is from RNAcentral.
CCAAGGGAAAACAAAGAAAAGUAGGUAUAGAUCUGUGUUAUAGGGAAGCAAACAUGUUCACAACUCAAAUACACCUUUUAGAACCCAUAAAAGCAUCUUGAAUCAGCUGCACUUACACAAUUUCAAAUCCAGACCUUAAAAUAGACCUUAAAACAAAAUGAGUAACACCAAUGACUAUAUUUAAGAAGCCAGACUAAGUGGAUACCAAUCCAAGUUACCAAACAACACACAAUAUUCAGAAUCUUGGGUUUUAAUUACAUAUUCAGACGUAAAAGACAAGAAGCAAACUUCUCUAAAGGAAAAGAAGACAGGCAAACAAAAGAACUAAACUAUGAACAUAACUAUUGUGGCUAGUUCUCACAACUCCUGAUCUCUAUUUUUCAAUUCCCAAGUCCAACUUUUACAUUAAGUAAAGUGUAGAAACAUGUACCUGGAGAUGGAAAAAAAUAGAAGGUAAAGGAUCAGCAGUAAUUUAGUAUAAGGCAGCAGCAGAAAUAAUUAGUGAAACCAGUUUCCAACCCAGAAAUGUUGUGCAGUACUCCAAAAGAAAAUAAUUUCAAUUGAACAAGAGUCUAGCAGACUUUGAACCAAACUUUUAAACCAAACUCAAACCAUUUCCAACCCCAGGUGAAUCAGAAUUUGUUUCAGAAAUUGAAGACUUUAAAAUUCACAGAUGAAAUGUAAUGGAACAGUGAUUGUAUUGGAACUUUUUGCCGUUUUUAAUUCCUAUCUUUCUAUCUCUGAAUCUCCCUUGAAUGCUAAGUUAGAGAGCCUUUAUAGGCAAGACAUUUAGGGCAGCUAGAUGAAGAUCAGAUUUUUCCCUCGACCCUUUUGCAAUUUUCAUUUUAGCUUAAGUACCCUUUAGUCAAAUGUCAGAAUUUCAGAACAGUCCUUCUCCCUAGCUUCCUAGAAGCUUCCCAUUCAGUUACACAAUAUUCCCCUAGCUAAUUACCCAAAAUACCCCUCUGAGCCAUGUUAAUUACCCUCAGAAAAUUCAUAGGUCCAUUGGACCCAACUACUCAAAACCAACCUAACUCUUACAGGACCUGGGCUAAUCCUUUUCUUUGGGCCCAAGUCUAACUCCAGAAUUCAGAAGAAAUGAGGAGGCAGAAAAGGCAAUUCGGAUUUCAAACCAACCAUGAACCAAAUGUUCUCAAUACCUCCCAAAAUUAAACAAACUACCCUAACAAAUUCAAACAAAACGGAAGAAGCUAAUAACUAAUAUUAACUCUAACUAAAAGGAACCACAUGCAAAGCUAAUCUUGAAAACAGAAGAAAGGGAGGGAAAAAUAGAAGAAGCUACGAGAGGAAAUGACCGGGAGAACUGGACUUACCCGCUAAACCCGGCGAACCCGAGUUUGAAAUAACUUUUCCAAAGAAUCCCCUACUUUUGGCCGAGAUAGACUUCAAUCGUAUGUUCUCAACUGAAAACACACGAUUAAAGUCCAUUUCAACCUCAAAAUCUCAAAACCUUGAUAAUCAGCUCUUUUCGGAAUUUAAGGUUAAGCUUCGAUCUAAAAUUCGAGAGGCCCCAGGAUGAUUCGAAGGCAAGUGGUUAGGGAUUUGGAAUGAGGGGGACUUGGUGGUCAUGGGGUGUAAUUUUGGUGGUGAACGGAGGUGGCGCCGCUAGGCUCGAGGUGGGGAAAAUAGAGGCGGUGCUUAGGGUUUCUGUCUCUAAAGAGGGGUGGAUUCGAGAGAGAUG